AGAUCUCAGAAUGCAGUUUUGGAGAAGAUAAUUGCUGUUAAUGCAGCCACCACAUUUCUAGACAUUUGUGAGGUCAUUGUGGAUACCAAGACAGAGUUUGAAGCCAACUGGAUACAUUCUGGAGAAUCUUUCCAUGGACUCUAUUUAUGGGCUACCCAUUCAACCUAUUUAUAUUGCUCAGAAAGUAGAACUAUCCUACAGAUGGAUAUGAAGAGCUACUAGAAACUGGUUGAUGUGAAAUUUAUUUGGUGAAUUCUGGUGCUGAGAGGAAGCUUGUGCAGAGAGCAUUUGAUGCAUACUAGCUGUGUGAUGAUUGAUAAGUUAUUUAAACUCUUUACUGCCAAGGAAACUAUGCAAGACCCUAAAUCCCAAAUGAGUUGUUGAUCUGCAUUGGUGAAAGAAGAUUCCACAUUGGGAGAUCUGCACACUUAUGAAAUUCCAGAAUCAAACAGCAGAAAUGGAGUUGGAAGAUGCUUAUGGUAAAGAAACAAGCUGAGGAGAUGCUAUUAGAGAGGCCCUGGAAAGAGAAAUUGGCAGAAAAGUAGAUCUUUACAAGCUUCCCUCAAUCCUUGAAGGCUGGAUGAAGACACUGAAAAGGGAAGAGGCAUGCCCAGGAUGAUGCAGCAAAUCAGUGGCAGAGUGGAUUUUUGAACUCAUGAUUCUUAAUCUACGUUCUCAUCUCUAUUCUGUUAUUUACUUACUGCUUUUUACCAAAUACCUAAAAAAAUAAUAAAAAAGAAAGAGUAACAAUCCUAUGGGUGAAAGCCGUUAGCAUUUUUCAGAAUCCAAUUUUGGAAUUCUGUUGGAGUUUGGGAUGCAAAAUUCUAUAGUCUGUUAUAACUAAUAGGAUAUUUAU
This is a non-coding RNA of Monodelphis domestica (gray short-tailed opossum), 856 nucleotides long. Lineage: Eukaryota; Metazoa; Chordata; Mammalia; Didelphimorphia; Didelphidae. The record is from RefSeq and is a predicted model, not a curated record.